GACAGAGGGGGCAAGCGUUGCUCGGAAUCACUGGGCGUAAAGGGCGCGUAGGCGGGAUGGCAAGUCGGUCGUGAAAUCCUUCGGCUCAACCGAAGAACGUCGGCCGAUACUGCCGUUCUUGAGGGAUGCAGAGGAGAUUGGAAUUCCCGGUGUAGCGGUGAAAUGUGUAGGGAUCGGGAGGAACACCGGUGGCGAAGGCGGGUCUCUGGGCCAUUACUGACGCUGAGGAGCGAAAGCGUGGGGAGCGAACAGG
This 253-nucleotide ribosomal RNA is filed under the name uncultured bacterium. RNAcentral describes it as "partial 16S ribosomal RNA". It matches the Rfam family "Bacterial small subunit ribosomal RNA", at positions 524 to 776 of the family's 1533-position model. The record is from RNAcentral.